GGGAAGGGACGCUCUCACCUGGGUUGCUCCGCCGCCCCCUUUCUCCUCUAAUACGUGCCAGAGUCUUCUCGAUCUUCGAUCCCUUCCACUGCGUCGUCAGGGAAAUCUCCAGCAGGCAUAAUGUCAACUGUUACUGUUCCACCCGUAUGCAUGCUGAGAGGCAACACCAAAUGCCAGCGCACCUCUUUGCUGAUCAAAAGCCCAUCCUCACUGAGCUCCAUGAAGCGUAUCUCAAAAGCAUCAUCCUUGAGGACAUCCAACCGCUUCAGGGCAUGUGCUAUGGCAGUCUACAAGGUGAAACUCAUCGACCCGGAGGGGAAGGAACAUGAGUUCGACGCUCCAGAUGAUAGCUACAUUCUGGAUGCAGCCGAGGAUGCAGGAGUGGAGCUGCCAUACUCAUGCCGAGCUGGAGCAUGUUCGACGUGUGCUGGUCAAUUGGUGUCGGGCAAUGUCGAUCAGUCGGAUGGAUCCUUCCUCGAUGAAACACAGAUGUCAAAGGGUUAUAUCCUGACCUGUGUCUCCUAUCCGAGAUCAGAAUGCGUCAUCUACACUCACAAAGAAGGCGAACUAUAUUGAUCGGAUUGGCAUCCUUUCUCUGUUUGUGCUCGGAAUGAAUCAGACGUAUGUAUCUGUCAUUUAACCUCUUUUUUUUUUGUUGUCCAGAGGGUCAUGCCUCUUUCAAUAAGCUCGGUACUACUACUGCUGAUAUUGCACUACUUUAUGUUCAGAUUUCUUGA
Musa acuminata AAA Group (dessert banana) is the source of this 737-nucleotide long non-coding RNA. RefSeq lists it as uncharacterized. NCBI's taxonomy places the organism in Eukaryota, Viridiplantae, Streptophyta, Magnoliopsida, Zingiberales, Musaceae. The transcript is spliced from 2 exons. The record is from RefSeq and is a predicted model, not a curated record.